GGAUCAUUACACAAAUAUGAAGGCGGGCUGGAACCUCUCGGGGUUACAGCCUUGCUGAAUUAUUCACCCUUGUCUUUUGCGUACUUCUUGUUUCCUUGGUGGGUUCGCCCACCACUAGGACAAACAUAAACCUUUUGUAAUUGCAAUCAGCGUCAGUAACAAAUUAAUAAUUACAACUUUCAACAACGGAUCUCUUGGUUCUGGCAUCGAUGAAGAACGCAGCGAAAUGCGAUAAGUAGUGUGAAUUGCAGAAUUCAGUGAAUCAUCGAAUCUUUGAACGCACAUUGCGCCCUUUGGUAUUCCAAAGGGCAUGCCUGUUCGAGCGUCAUUUGUACCCUCAAGCUUUGCUUGGUGUUGGGCGUCUUGUCUCUAGCUUUGCUGGAGACUCGCCUUAAAGUAAUUGGCAGCCGGCCUACUGGUUUCGGAGCGCAGCACAAGUCGCACUCUCUAUCAGCAAAGGUCUAGCAUCCAUUAAGCCUUUUUUUUCAACUUUUGACCUCGGAUCAGGUAGGGAUACCCGCUGAACUUAAGCAUAUCAAUAAGCGGAGGAAAAGAAACCAACAGGGAUUGCCCUAGUAACGGCGAGUGAAGCGGCAACAGCUCAAAUUUGAAAUCUGGCUCUUUUAGAGUCCGAGUUGUAAUUUGCAGAGGGCGCUUUGGCUUUGGCAGCGGUCCAAGUUCCUUGGAACAGGACGUCACAGAGGGUGAGAAUCCCGUACGUGGUCGCUGGCUAUUGCCGUGUAAAGCCCCUUCGACGAGUCGAGUUGUUUGGGAAUGCAGCUCUAAAUGGGAGGUACAUUUCUUCUAAAGCUAAAUAUUGGCCAGAGACCGAUAGCGCACAAGUAGAGUGAUCGAAAGAUGAAAAGCACUUUGGAAAGAGAGUCAAACAGCACGUGAAAUUGUUGAAAGGGAAGCGCUUGCAGCCAGACUUGCUUACAGUUGCUCAUCCGGGUUUCUACCCGGUGCACUCUUCUGUAGGCAGGCCAGCAUCAGUUUGGGCGGUAGGAUAAAGGUCUCUGUCACGUACCUCCUUUCGGGGAGGCCUUAUAGGGGAGACGACAUACUACCAGCCUGGACUGAGGUCCGCG
Molecule: ribosomal RNA, 1088 nt
Filed under: Dothideomycetes sp. genotype 46
Lineage: Eukaryota; Fungi; Ascomycota; Dothideomycetes
Description: eukaryotic LSU rRNA
Rfam family: Eukaryotic large subunit ribosomal RNA (bases 494-1088)
Source: RNAcentral